GUGGAAGUAAAAGUCGUAACAAGGUCUCCGUUGGUGAACCAGCGGAGGGAUCAUUACCGAGUU
RNAcentral lists this ribosomal RNA (63 nucleotides) under Fusarium oxysporum. RNAcentral's name for it is "partial 18S ribosomal RNA". The stretch from base 1 to 56 matches the Rfam family "Eukaryotic small subunit ribosomal RNA", at positions 1776 to 1831 of the family's 1831-position model. The record is from RNAcentral. Lineage: Eukaryota; Fungi; Ascomycota; Sordariomycetes; Hypocreales; Nectriaceae.